Molecule: ribosomal RNA, 274 nt
Filed under: uncultured bacterium
Lineage: Bacteria
Description: partial 16S ribosomal RNA
Rfam family: Bacterial small subunit ribosomal RNA
Source: RNAcentral
AAACCGAGGGUGCAAGCGUUAAUCGGAAUUACUGGGCGUAAAGCGCGCGUAGGUGGUUUGUUAAGUUGGAUGUGAAAGCCCUGGGCUCAACCUGGGAACUGCAUCCAAAACUGGCAAGCUAGAGUACGGUAGAGGGUGGUGGAAUUUCCUGUGUAGCGGUGAAAUGCGUAGAUAUAGGAAGGAACACCAGUGGCGAAGGCGACCACCUGGACUGAUACUGACACUGAGGUGCGAAAGCGUGGGGAGCAAACAGGAUUAGAUACCCGAGUAGUCC